Long non-coding RNA from Neofelis nebulosa (Clouded leopard), 559 nucleotides. RefSeq lists it as uncharacterized. The transcript has 3 exons. Lineage: Eukaryota; Metazoa; Chordata; Mammalia; Carnivora; Felidae. The record is from RefSeq and is a predicted model, not a curated record.
AUGGUUGAGGCCAAAUCUGUAAACAGGAGGAACGGGGAUCCCCGGGGAAGGAAUCUGGGCUGAAUUUGAAUCCCUCAGGAGUCAGAGGGACUUAGGAACAGAGCAGGUGGUAGAGAAGACAGUUGGAAGGGAGCAGGAAAAGAGUCUUGGAUUUCAACCGUGAGUGCCCCCAGCUGGAAGCUCAAAGGUGGUGAUCACCAACACCUGCUCACAUCACUAACAGAGUAUGCCUCUUUGCCAGAAAGUCCAGUCUGAAUCUGAAUAAGCCCCAAAUUUAACUACAAGCUUGGAGGAAUACAGAAGACCCAGGAGCAUGUUAAAUCACCCCUUCAAGAUGUUUGGAAUUUUCCAUAAUAAACAAUUGUUUUUGAAAGCCCACUCUGGACGGGGAAAAUGGAAUAUUAUCUUCCUCUUUACAUUCCUGCUACAACAAUCCUAACCUCCCCGGAGGCAAACGGAUGCUCAGAAACUGCACACAGGAUUGUAAUAGAGAAAAGCAACUGACAUAUUUCCAAAAAUAUUAUCCCCAUUUCAGAAAAUUUAUUUUUGGUGGAAAAUG